This 73-nucleotide transfer RNA is filed under the name Ixodes scapularis (black-legged tick). It matches the Rfam family "tRNA". From Rfam's summary of the family: Transfer RNA (tRNA) molecules are approximately 80 nucleotides in length. The record is from Rfam by way of RNAcentral. Lineage: Eukaryota; Metazoa; Arthropoda; Arachnida; Ixodida; Ixodidae.
GCAGUCGUGACCGAGUGGUUAAGGCGAUGGUCAUUGGGGUCUCCCCACACAGGUUCAAAUCCUGUCGACCGCG